UACGUAGGGUGCGAGCGUUAAUCGGAAUUACUGGGCGUAAAGCGUGCGCAGGCGGCGCGUUAAGACAGGUGUGAAAGCCCCGAGCUUAACUUGGUAAUUGCGCUUGUGACUGGCGUGCUGGAGUGUUGCAGAGGGAGGUGGAAUUCCACGUGUAGCAGUGAAAUGCGUAGAGAUGUGGAGGAACACCGAUGGCGAAGGCAGCCUCCUGGGCCAGCACUGACGCUCAUGCACGAAAGCGUGGGGAGCAAACAGG
This 253-nucleotide ribosomal RNA is filed under the name uncultured bacterium. Its description in RNAcentral is "partial 16S ribosomal RNA". It matches the Rfam family "Bacterial small subunit ribosomal RNA", at positions 524 to 776 of the family's 1533-position model. The record is from RNAcentral.